UGUUACCAUGGAAACGCAUAUGGUACACUCCAGCACUGAAGGUGAUUUCGCUGCAUUGCCAGUACAGGUAGCAUCCCUAAGCUCCAUUUCAGGCUCAGCAAAACAACAAGCGGUCAGUUGUCACAUCAGAAGGUGACAACGUGAGCGUGCCCAGUGAAUAAUAGACAGACAAAGCCUACGUUUGGGCCCGGUCAGCUCUCCAACACCGAGCCCCUCAUGUUGCUGCUAAAGAGGCAGCCACUUUCCACAGCUCUUUCGCACCCACACCUUGCCCAAGACUAACCAAUCAGAAUACAGUUCUGCCAGCCAUGUGCUAACCCCUUAAUUAACUUGCACCCAUGCCACUCUUUAGAACCACUACAUUUCCCGACCCUUGGCAUCCUCCCAAAUCCUUCUGUAAAGAAGCCCAGUGAGGAUCAUUUCGGUGCAGUUUGCUGGUUAGUUGGUUUUGUCGUUAAUUGCUACAUUCCUAUUGCCGCAGCCUCAUGCCCUCGUCCUCCAUGCCAUAGACGCGAUUAGACAGCUGGUAUUCGCAGCAUGAUGCAAAGGGCUGAGAGCAUGGCAGCUCCGUGCUGGAAUAACCCGAAAAGUUCCAUGGUCCGGUGAACGUGGGUCACAGCACCCUGAGUCCCAGCCCAAGCCGCUAUCCCAGUCUCGCCAACAAAUGCUAGGCAACAUUAAGGUAAUAUAAUUUACCGUUGCGUUACAUAACACUGCUUUUUAAAAAACCUCGAUAUACUGUCCGAAAGGUAUGAUGGUAUGAAAAAUCAGAUACCACCCAAGCCUAUUAAAUGGUGAUAAGAUUUAACAAGGAUACACAAAUGCGGCACACCAAAUACAAUAUGCCGAAUAUACAUGUUGUAGCCAUCUGCUCAAAUUAGUGUACAAACCGGAAGUACGCACUAACCGUGAGAUGAGAGGCUAAAGCCAAAAGCUAUUUAUUGAUCUCAGUGGGCCGGUAUAUUGCCUGGGUAGACUCAUUAUCUCAAGCCAGUUGUCAGAAUUCAGCCCAUGAUGAAUCAAUGGCGAUUCCUUUUGGAUUCAAGGUUGACCGAGUUCAGUUAGGGUGCACACACAAAGCAUACUUCACGGCGACAAAAACGUGGUAUCGCAACUAAAAAAAGUGUUUUGCUGUUUUGUGUGCCAUAGCCACCCCUCCUAGUUCAUGUAGGUAGUUUUCUUGUGGUCGUUCAUUCAUGAGUUCUUAAUGAUGCCCCUGCCCCAUUUAACGCUCAGAACAGCAGGGUAUGAGUGCGUAAUCGCUGGCUAAAUGUCCGUUGCCUCUUAACCUCACUUACGUGCUUGUCAGACUAUUUGCAUGCUGACCUUGCUUUCGGUGACACUGAGCCUGCUGCAAUAACACGGCGAGAGGCCAUCUCUCUGACUGAUAGAAGGCAGUCAGAGCUUCAUUACCCUUCUUACCAAGAGGCCUGACGAACAGCGAGCUGAGCCGGGGCAGAGGCCCUCAUCAGGCUGCCUUAAAAUCACAGAGACGUUAAGUAAACACAGGCGUGUGAGGGGCUGUCUCAGUCACCAGGGUGACGUCCGGCGAGAGCAGUCUAGACCUGGGGGAGGGGUGUUUGGACAUCUAAUUCUCUCGGCCAACGAGGCCCUUGCCGAAUGCCUGCCUUGCUUUAACUUUGCAUCGCUGUCAUGUCCUCACCCCAGUUCAUUGUGACCCCCGUCCCAUCUCAGAAUCGCGGGAUUUAAUGCGUCGAUGUCGUCUCCCCGAAGCUCCCCGUGCCCCACGUUCGCUACAGCAUUCCAUUAUCUCGCCUUGGAUACGCCCCCCCGGAUACUGCGCCCGUGGCGUUUUUGUAUACAAUGGAAAGAUGAAGCCCGGGGUGCAUGUGGAAAUAAAAAGAGCCCGAAUAAAUCUGGAAGAGUGGCUCUCUCACGAGCUCCUGGCCCGAUAUGAGGCAGAGACGACUCUGACAUCAGCGAUGACCUGUGUAGCUUUCGGGAGGCGGACCUCACCUCCGGAGCCGAGAGGCAGCGCUGCCUGAAACACACACGGUAUUAGCCUGCCCUCCCACGCACUGCCUCCACGUCUCAGCAGGAGAUGUGUAAUGCCCCCCCCCCCCCAAAAAAAAAUAAUAUGUGCCUCAUCUGAAUUGUUGGAAAGGCAGAAUGCAGACAUGGCACUCGAAAAAACACUAGGUGGUCCGCUCAGAAGGUCUUGAUGUCCAGCUGGAGAUUAUUCAUUAAUUCAUUCAUUCAUCACGAUUCUCCAUAUCCACAAUUUGGUUGAAACCUCGAUUCUUGAGCUACAGUUUGGUUCAUACCUUGAUUUUUUUAUUUUUAUUUUUUUGGGGGGGGGGGGGGUAAGAAAAUACUGGGAAAAAAAUUUUGGGUUGGACCAAAAUCAUGUGACGUGUAGUCAUGUGACACAUGCAACUGGCAAUAAACUGGGUGUAAUAUUUACAAAAUAAACAUCUGGCCAUAACCUUAAAAUGAAUAAUAACUUUAUGAUUUACAUGUGUUAUAGUGUUAAUUGUGAAAUGAAAAACGAGUUUUGUAACAUUAGUAACGUGAUGAGAGCUCAACAGGCUGAUCCCACGGCAGUGGGCUGAGCUGGGGAGGCUGAGAGAUUCUGAACAUUUGCAUCGCUGUUACACCAUUAUCCAAUACAGCAUAGCAGGGAUGCAGAACCUCUGCCGGAAACAACAGGCACAAGGCAGGGAGUAACCCAGGACACCGCGCCAACCCAUCACAGGGCACACUCACCAUUAACACACACAAACACACCUACAGGCAAUUUGGCAAACCCAACUGCAGAAUAUUCAUCCACUUAUUACAUUUCAACCUGUUAUUGUUUCCAUUGUGUGUUUAUGUAAAUCUUUAUUGUGUUGCUCAAUGAGGUUACACUCUACACACCUGAACUUGAACCCAACGCCAAUGCUCCACAUGAGUGAGAAAGCCAGUAAUGCAAAGAUCACGUGGAGCACAGGAGCCAGAAAUCCACAUUCACAGCGACACAGCUGAGGACGCAGCGGAAACAUUCCGGGAUGUUCAGCAGGGACCCCCUACCCCACCACAGCUCCCUGAAAUAUGAAACCCCAGAUAUGACGAAUUUCCCUACCAUUUCAAGCUAGCUCAAGGUUAAACUGGCCCCUCGCAUUGUGGCGUAUCCGUGCCAGCUAUCAUCCGCCCAGAAGAGCGACAGGGACAAGAUGAAGAAGAUCUGAGGUUAUGAGCCCAGCAGGAGGAGAAAAGAACAAAUUUCAGCUGGUGAGAGAUCAGCUGACCAGCUGGAUGUUGGCAGUCACCCUUUAUUUAAAAUGGUGAAAUGUUCAUAAAAGUAUGAAAUACUCAUUAUUUAUUUACGCUAUGUAAAUUAUUUUUUCUUUACAACCGUCUUUAGUGCAUCUUUCUCUAUCAAG
Long non-coding RNA from Brienomyrus brachyistius, 3383 nucleotides. RefSeq lists it as uncharacterized. Lineage: Eukaryota; Metazoa; Chordata; Actinopteri; Osteoglossiformes; Mormyridae. The record is from RefSeq and is a predicted model, not a curated record. The transcript has 3 exons.